UGGGGAAUAUUGGACAAUGGGCGCAAGCCUGAUCCAGCCAUGCCGCGUGAGUGAUGAAGGCCCUCGGGUUGUAAAGCUCUUUCACCGGUGAAGAUAAUGACGGUAACCGGAGAAGAAGCCCCGGCUAACUUCGUGCCAGCAGCCGCGGUAAUACGAAGGGGGCUAGCGUUGUUCGGAUUUACUGGGCGUAAAGCGCACGUAGGCGGACUUUUAAGUCAGGGGUGAAAUCCCGGGGCUCAACCCCGGAAAUGCCUUUGAUACUGGAAGUCUUAAGUAUGGGAGAGGUGAGUGGAAUUCCGAGUGUAGAGGGGAAAUUCGUAGAUAUUCGGAGGAAAACCAGUGGCGAAGGCGGCUCACUGGACCAUUACUGACGCUGAGGUGCGAAAGCGUAGGGAGCAAACAGG
This 404-nucleotide ribosomal RNA is filed under the name Actinomycetes bacterium. RNAcentral's name for it is "Actinobacteria bacterium partial 16S ribosomal RNA". It matches the Rfam family "Bacterial small subunit ribosomal RNA", at positions 355 to 776 of the family's 1533-position model. The record is from RNAcentral. Lineage: Bacteria; Bacillati; Actinomycetota; Actinomycetes.